Long non-coding RNA from Neopelma chrysocephalum (saffron-crested tyrant-manakin), 1036 nucleotides. RefSeq lists it as uncharacterized. The record is from RefSeq and is a predicted model, not a curated record. Lineage: Eukaryota; Metazoa; Chordata; Aves; Passeriformes; Pipridae. The transcript is spliced from 3 exons.
ACAAACAGUUUGUAAUUCUCCACAACAGCAACAACUUCAUACAUUUCUUGCAUAGAAUACCUGGAAACAGAAAUAGGGACGUUACAGUUACAAGAAAGAAGAGAAUCUUGAGAACUACAAUAUAAUGUACGAGCAAACAUUGUCAUGGAUUUGGGACAGAAUGAAACAGAGUUUUCACACCUCUUGGUUUAUUCACAUUUUACCAGAUGAAAUUAUUCGUUUAAUACUCCCUUUCAAGUGGUGCAGCAAUGUUGAAGAAAUUCCUUGAAAAAGUCUGGCUCGUUACAGGUACUUGCAAAGGAGAAGUUCUGGUCAUCAGAACACCACAAGAAGCCAAGUGCCUGAAACAGUGAAAAUGCUUUUAGAUGGGUUUCAUAUCAGCAAAAGAAGUAACAGCACAUUCAAGUGGGACAAAUAACCUGUUGUAUAACAUUCCAGAAAAUGUCUGUCCGAUGGAAAAGCAAAGGCUCAUAACAGUGCACAAACUGUCAAACAUUUCCUUAAGAGAAACUAAAAAUAGCCCACAGUCAGGACAAAAAUGACUGCAGAGUGAAACACAAAGGCCCUCAUUAAACACUUGACCACAUGGCAGCCUGAGUUCAUGUACAGGUCUCAGAUGCACUUAAUUUGCAGAACAGGUUUUCCUAAUAGCAAAAUCAAGGUUUGCAAUACUUAUCUCUUUUGGAAUACAAAAAGUAGAGAAGAUUUCACUUGGAGAUACAAAGCUGAACUCUGGCGCCAUCCUUCUCUUAAAAGGACAGUUUAAUUUUGAAAGUCCAUUCAGAAGGUGCAUUGUUACCCAGCUUUCCAAAUUUCCUUCAGAAAAUAGAAUCAAAACCUUGGACACAGUGUUUUCAUAAAUAAAACUUAAUUACCCGUAAAGGGACUAAUAACCUUAAGAUUGCACCUCAGUGUUCUCUGUUUGUGAACAUCUACACUAAAAUCUAAAAAACAUUCAUUGUGAUUAACAGUUCUGUUCUGCUAAAUUACUGAUUUUGCUGAGAACAAGUAGAUCAAAAUGCAACAUGCUGCCUCA